Molecule: RNA transcript, 4062 nt
Organism: Panicum virgatum (switchgrass)
Lineage: Eukaryota; Viridiplantae; Streptophyta; Magnoliopsida; Poales; Poaceae
Gene name: scarecrow-like protein 21
Exons: 5
Source: RefSeq, a predicted model, not a curated record
CUUUUUUUUCUCUCUCUCCGAUAAAUGGCUUCUUUUCAUCUACACCACACCAAUCCAGCCAUCAAUCCCAUCACCGAGCAGUCGUCGUCUUCCCCCAUGGCACUCGUUCUCCCUCCACCCCCUUGAAGGGUCUAUUUCCUUUCCUUCCUGCCUCUCUUCAGCUGAGGCCUGGUCAUUGGAGUACCGCGGUCCGUGAGUCGUUUCUUGCUGGUCAAAAGACAUUCAAGAAUCGCCUGGGGACUCCUGUUUCUUGAUGUGGAUGACAUGAGGACACUGAAUACAAUUGUGAUAAAGAUGGCAGGAUCUGCUCCCUGCUAAGUUUUUACCUACGAGUUGGCAAAGGACAAUAUGCCAUCUGGGGCUUCUAACCGUCGUCCAUACAAAAUUUCAGAAGAUUCUCAAAUGCCGUACUACAAUAAUUCAGCAACUGUAGAAGAAAAUGAUAGGUUACAUGUGAUGCAAAAUAAUCUAGAUCAUCACCACUCUUCUCCCGAUGAUGAAUCGCAGAAGAUUAAUAGUUCCAACACACAAAUAUUUGAAGCACAGUACUGCACUCUGGAAUCAUCCUCAGCAAAUGGUGUUUAUCCUGCACAAAGCUCCACAUCUUCUCACAGCAUUUCCCCUUUAAGUGGGAGCCCCCUGUCUCAGCAUGAUAGCCACUCAGACCACACAUAUAGUUCUCCCCCAAGUGCUUCCUGUCUAACUGAAGUUGCAGAUCUCCAAAUUAAACUAAAAGAGCUAGAGAAUGCCAUUCUUGGACCUGAAUUGGACAUUACUUCUGACAGACCUGAGAGCUUCUUACAAGCCAAUGUUCAAUUGAGACCAGACAACUGGAGACAACUUCUGGGAAUUGAUGCAGGAGACUUGAAGCAAGUAAUCAUUGCAUGUGGUAAGGCUGUUGCGGAGAAUGAUGUCUUUGCAACAGAUUUGCUUAUAUCUGAGCUAGGUCAGCUCGUAUCUGUAUCAGGAGAUCCAAUGCAACGACUUGGAGCAUAUAUGUUGGAAGGAAUUGUUGCAAGACUUUCUUCCUCUGGCAGUAUGCUAUAUAAAUCUUUGAAAUGUAAAGAACCUACAAGCUCUGAGCUCAUGUCAUACAUGCAUCUCCUUUAUGAGAUCUGCCCAUUCUUCAAGUUUGGUUAUUUGUCAGCGAAUGGUGCCAUUGCCGAGGCUAUUAAGGGGGAGAACUUUGUUCACGUCAUUGACUUCCAAAUUGCUCAGGGGAGCCAGUGGAUUACUCUGAUACAGGCCCUUGCUGCAAGGCCUGGGGGUCCACCAUACAUUAAAAUCACAGGUAUUGAUGACUCAAAUUCUGCUUAUGCCAGAGGGGGUGGGCUUGAUAUAGUUGGGAGGAGAUUGCAUAGUGUUGCUCAGUCGUGUGGUCUUCCCUUUGAGUUCAAUGCUGUUCCAGCUGCUAGCCAUGAGGUUCAGCUUGGGCAUCUUGCAUUAAGACCUGGGGAGAUUAUUGCUGUCAAUUUUGCCUAUCAGCUGCAUCAUGUUCCUGAUGAAAGCGUAAGCAUGGAAAAUCAUCGAGAUAGGAUUAUAAGAAUGAUCAAGAGCAUCAAUCCUAGGGUUGUUACUCUCGUUGAGCAGGAAUCAAAUACAAACACAGCUCCAUUCUUCCCAAGGUACAUGGAAACUCUCAACUACUAUACAGCCAUGUUUGAGUCGAUAGAUGUUGCUCUCCCAAGGGAUGACCGGAGGAGGAUGAGUGCGGAACAACACUGUGUUGCAAGGGAUAUUGUUAAUUUAAUCGCAUGCGAGGGUGCUGAAAGAGUUGAGAGGCAUGAACUGUUUGGAAAAUGGAAGGCAAGAUUUGCUAUGGCUGGAUUUAGGCCUUACCCGCUGAGUUCAGUAGUGAACAACACCAUCAACACACUGUUGCGGAGUUAUAACAGCUGCUACAGGCUUGAGGAAAGUGGUGGUGUCCUUUACCUUGGAUGGAAGAACAGAGUGUUAGUUGUAUCUUCAGCAUGGUGUUGACAUUUCCAUAUAAGAAGCUCAUGUUUCGUCAGAUUUGUGCGUCCAUCCCACGUUUCCAAGAUUCCGUCCUGAACUCUAUUCACCCAGGAGAUUCUGACUCACUAGCAGUCUAAUCCAGCAGUUAGCUUGUCAUCUAGAUGGUCACCGCAAGUUGAAGGUUUGGUAGACUCAGAAGUGCUACGCAGAAGAGGGUGUAUCAGUAUGCUCUCUCUCUCUCUGCCCCCCAGCCCGCGCUCCCUCCCUCCCUCCCCGCAUAAGUUAUGCUAGGCAGGAGGUGUAUGCCAUCACCAUAAGGUAAUUUGACGAACAGACAUCUAAACAGCAGUGAAGUAGACCAAACAUAAAAAAGAAGGUACAAUCCCUCACUAAGAUUUCACCUCAUUCAAGCACAAAUGAAUAACAAAUUGAAAUAGAUUACAUGUCUUUCUGUCCUAAGGUAUUUUUGAAGCUUUUAUUCAUGCGAAUUGAUCCAAAACUCAUGCAAGCACUUCUACAAUCUUGGAAGAAUGCUUUGGGUCAUCUAAAACAUCCAUAGGAGCUAUCAAAAGGAGUUAAUUAAGUUUAAGGCCCCUUGGUCAUCCAGGAGCACCUCCAGAGAGACGACAAAUCAAGUGCUAGCCUGUGGAGAAGUUCAGAUACAGAAGCAAGUGUAAGCACCACCUCAUCAUCUAACAAGCUUGUAGCUUCAGUUUUUGCUUCAUCUCUCACUCGCAACUAUAUUUCUGAGUCAUUUUUGGACAUGAUAGAGUAACUUGAGGUUUACUUUGCCAUCCAUGAAACUGAUAAAAAUAAAAUUUGCUAUCAGAAAACAUACACGGAAGCAUCAGUAGAAAGUACAAGCAUCAAAGUUCAUAAACUUUACAGAGAUCAUCUGAAUCUUUCUAAUCAUCAUCUGGAGAAAGCAACUUCUGCAGGGGUUGCAAUAAUAAUUUUUCAGAAAAGAUGAGGAUCAUAAUUGGAAUCUUUCAUUGUAACAAAGAUAGGCAAGGUAGCAAUGAUCUGCAUGAAUUACCUUCAAAUUUUUCAUAGCAAGUUUCAAGGUCAUCGUCAUUUACCAAAAGAUGAUCAAAGGGACCUGGGAAUUGGACUGAUCCCAAGAAUUUUUAAGUCGUUUUUGGAUCUGCUCCUUUGGGUACCCCUGUAUAACCAAUUAGGUGGAGAAUAAAUCAACUGUGUCAUAUAGUUACAUGUUUAAGAAUUAAAUAAUCCAUCACAUGAGCCUAGCCAAAUACUACAUUUCCUAAACUACAAAUAUACCUGCACUUGAAGCUUCAACUGAUUCAGAUACUAUCCAAUACAAAGGGGACUGAAUAGCCCUUCUUGAUAUUCUCAUUUUUCGUAGACACCAGUUUCAGGCUCCGGAGAACCUCCAUAUUCGCAUUCAUUGCUCUGUCCACCGAUUUGCGCCUUGCUCGCCUAGGCGCCUGCCUUGCUCGCCUAGGCGUCCAGCCGCCCCACCUUGCUAGGCGUCCGCCUUACCGCCUUGAGAACAGAGAUUCAUUGAUCUUGCUCCUACCACCUAGGCACAAAAAUCUAGAGGAUAUAGCAAGGGAAACAACACUCCACCACCUUAUAUCUGAGAGGUUGUGCAUCUCGGUGAUACGGCUUUGCUUAUUGAUGGAACCUCUGCACAGUGGAAAUUGAGACACCUUAUUUUUAUUUAUAACUAUAUGUAGGGCAGAACUGUAUAUAAAUCAUGGUUUUAAAUAGUGGGCUAUAGCCUCGCUAUAGCCCCGCUAUAGCCUUUUUAGAGGGUUCCCGCUACGCUAUUUGUAUUUGUACCGCUAUGACAGCUAUGGACGCUAAAUUGGACUCUAGCUGCGCUAAAUAGCAUAGCUUUAGCUCCGCUAUAGUCUUUAUCCUUAGCUUAGUACUACUGUUUUGGUCUUUUGGACAAAUAAAUAUUUGAUUGUAUGAUUGUUAUUGCAUUAUCAACUUAAGUAAUGUUCUCAUAGCUCUAGAAACAUAUUUAUGUUUAUGAAAUUCGCUAAUUACUAUGUUUUUGUGCAUCUAUUACUUGUAUUUUUCAUGGUUUAGUAGUAAACCGCUAUUUGUCAUAGCCCGCUAUAGCCUCUUAGCCUC